RNAcentral lists this ribosomal RNA (641 nucleotides) under uncultured bacterium. RNAcentral describes it as "bacterial SSU rRNA". It matches the Rfam family "Bacterial small subunit ribosomal RNA", at positions 8 to 636 of the family's 1533-position model. The record is from RNAcentral.
AGAGUUUGAUCCUGGCUCAGGAUGAACGCUGGCGGCGUGCUUAACACAUGCAAGUCGAACGGAGAUGGCAUUUUCGAAGUGAUUAGUUUACUAAGAGCGGAGAUGUUGCCAUCUUAGUGGCGGACGGGUGAGUAACGCGUGGGUAACCUGCCUCACACUGGGGGAUAACACUUAGAAAUAGGUGCUAAUACCGCAUAAGAAGGGAAGACGCAUGUCUUUACUUUAAAAACUCCGGUGGUGUGGGAUGGACCCGCGUCUGAUUAGCCAGUUGGCGGGGUAACGGCCCACCAAAGCGACGAUCAGUAGCCGGCCUGAGAGGGUGAACGGCCACAUUGGGACUGAGACACGGCCCAAACUCCUACGGGAGGCAGCAGUGGGGAAUAUUGGACAAUGGGGGGAACCCUGAUCCAGCGACGCCGCGUGAGUGAAGAAGUAUUUCGGUAUGUAAAGCUCUAUCAGCAGGGAAGAAAGAAAUGACGGUACCUGAAUAAGAAGCCCCGGCUAACUACGUGCCAGCAGCCGCGGUAAUACGUAGGGGGCAAGCGUUAUCCGGAUUUACUGGGUGUAAAGGGAGCGUANACGGCGGUGCAAGUCUGGAGUGAAAGGCAGGGGCCCAACCCCUGGACUGCUCUGGAAACUGU